ACAUGCAAGUCGAACGAAGUCUUAGGACUUAGUGGCGCACGGGUGAGUAACAUGUGGGAAUCUACCUAAAGGUUCGGAAUAACUGCGGGAAACUGUAGCUAAUACCGGAUGUGUCUGAAAAGAGAAAGAUUUAUCGCCUUUAGAUGAGCCCGCACUAGAUUAGUUUGUUGGUGAGUUAAAAGCUUCACCAAGACUACGAUCUAUAGCUGAUUUGAGAGGAUGAUCAGCCACACUGGGACUGAGACACGGCCCAGACUCCUACGGGAGGCAGCAGUGGGGAAUAUUGGACAAUGGGGGAAACCCUGAUCCAGCAAUGCCGCGUGAGUGAGGAAGGCCUUAGGGUUGUAAAACUCUUUCAUCAACGAAGAUAAUGACAUUAAUUGAAGAAGAAGCUCCGGCUAACUCCGUGCCAGCAGCCGCGGUAAUACGGAGGGGGCUAGCGUUGUUCGGAAUUACUGGGCGUAAAGCGUGUGUAGGCGGAUCAAAAAGUUAGAUGUGAAAUCCCUGGGCUUAACCCAGGAACUGCAUUUAAUACUAGUGAUCUAGAAUUUGGUAGAGGUUAGUAGAAUUUCCAGUGUAGAGGUGAAAUUCGUAGAUAUUGGAAAGAAUACCAGUGGCGAAGGCGACUAACUGGGCCAUUUUUGACGCUGAGAUACGAAAGCGUGGGUAGCAAACAGGAUUAGAUACCCUGGUAGUCCACGCAGUAAACGAUGAGUGCUAGUCGCUGGGUCAAUAGAUUCGGUGUCGAAGCUAACGCAUUAAGCACUCCGCCU
RNAcentral lists this ribosomal RNA (773 nucleotides) under uncultured Alphaproteobacteria bacterium. Its description in RNAcentral is "bacterial SSU rRNA". It matches the Rfam family "Bacterial small subunit ribosomal RNA", at positions 53 to 874 of the family's 1533-position model. The record is from RNAcentral. Lineage: Bacteria; Pseudomonadati; Pseudomonadota; Alphaproteobacteria.